UUUUUUUUUUUUUUUUUUUGUGUUGAGAAAUUCAACAAUGUUUUGCUCAGAGAUGGUGCGCGUAUCAGCUCUAAUCACGGCGUAUGAUAAACCAAAAGGACCUAAUUAUUGAGAGACCUCUUCUGACAUUCUCAAGACCUACUUAAUUUUGAUGUUUAGCAAAACCUUUCUACCACCCCCGCAAAAAAACAAAAAUGAAGAGGAAGAAAAAGGCUAAAAAGAAAAGAAAAUUAAAGCAAGGGGCAUAUAUGGAGCGCAGCCAAAUGCGCCGACCAACAACAAUGCAAUUGAUCAAGCGACAGCAAAAUGCCAGAGACUUCGAGGGCUCAUAUGAGCUUAAUAAAUGAUGACGCAUGCGCAGGCUUUGAGGGUCUAGUUUUGUUUUGCAAGUCUUUAGAACACUGCAAGUAAGUUGCGCCUUGACUAAACAUAAAACCGUCAAAAUAGAAAGGCAAUAGAUAGUGUACGUAAUAUGGUCUUAGAAAAUGGGAUUCCAAUUCUUGCUAGGGAGUAGGAUCAUUCUCUUAUAUCUACACAAGUAUUAGGCAAAAAAGUAAUUACUCCGUAUAAGUAUAAUAAGCCAAACGAGUCGACGGUUAGCAGUUGGAAUAUACAGGCGUGUAUACAAUACAGGCGUGGAUAAUUUCAUUUCAUUUUACAAGUUGAGUUGAGAUGUCAUCCAUAUCCCAAUUGAAACUGCGCCAAUUGUAGCCAAAGCUUGGGCCAACUCAUAUACCAAAUUUUGCUGCCGGAGAGGCACGCUUGCCCAGUCGGUCCGUC
RNAcentral lists this long non-coding RNA (780 nucleotides) under Coffea arabica (coffee). RNAcentral describes it as "long non-coding RNA (CARA_LNC001451)". Lineage: Eukaryota; Viridiplantae; Streptophyta; Magnoliopsida; Gentianales; Rubiaceae. The record is from RNAcentral.